AGCGGAGGAAAAGAAACUAACAAGGAUUCCCCUAGUAACGGCGAGUGAACCGGGAUGAGCUCAAAUUUGAAAUCUGGCGUCCUCAGGGCGUCCGAGUUGUAAUCUAUAGAGGCGUUUUCCGUGCCGGACCGUGUCCAAGUCCCUUGGAACAGGGUAUCAAAGAGGGUGACAAUCCCGUACUUGACACGACGACCGGUGCUCUGUGAUACGUCUUCUACGAGUCGAGUUGUUUGGGAAUGCAGCUCAAAAUGGGUGGUGAGUUCCAUCUAAAGCUAAAUAUUGGCGAGAGACCGAUAGCGAACAAGUACCGUGAGGGAAAGAUGAAAAGCACUUUGGAAAGAGAGUUAAACAGUACGUGAAAUUGUUGAAAGGGAAACGAUUGAAGUCAGUCGUGACUGUUGGGCUCAGCAGGUUCUGCCUGUGUAUUCCCUUCAGUCGGGUCAACAUCAGUUUUGACCGGUGGAUAAGGGCAGCAGGAAUGUGGCACCCUCGGGUGUGUUAUAGCCUGUCGUCGCAUACAUCGGUUGAGACUGAGGAACGCAGCUCGCCUUUAUGGCCGGGGUUCGCCCACGUCCGAGCUUAGGAUGUUGACAUAAUGGCUUUAAACGACCCGUCUUGAA
Molecule: ribosomal RNA, 620 nt
Filed under: Cryptococcus sp. MB2012
Lineage: Eukaryota; Fungi; Basidiomycota; Tremellomycetes; Tremellales; Cryptococcaceae
Description: eukaryotic LSU rRNA
Rfam family: Eukaryotic large subunit ribosomal RNA
Source: RNAcentral